CGCUGCGCUGCGCUGCGCUCCGGCCGCUCCCGCGGCCCGUGGAUGGGGGUGUCCGGCUGAGCCCCGGGAUCCUCCUCCCUCCGCCAGGACCCGCACAGAUAAACUCAUCCUGAAAGUCGCUGUUGUUCUCCUGCUGAGCAAGAAUGGAGGCCCCACUGGUGAGCCUGGAUGAAGAGUUUGAGGACCUUCGACCCUCCUGCUCCGAGGACCCGGAGGAGAAGCCCCAGUGUUUCUAUGGUUCAUCUCCCCACCAUCUCGAGGACCCCUCCCUCUCCGAGCUUGAGAAUUUUUCUUCCGAAAUAAUCAGCUUCAAGUCCAUGGAGGACCUCGUGAAUGAAUUUGACGAGAAGCUCAAUGUCUGCUUUCGGAACUACAACGCCAAGACCGAGAACCUAGCUCCCGUGAAGAACCAGUUACAGAUCCAAGAGGAGGAGGAGACCCUUCAGGACGAGGAGGUUUGGGAUGCUCUGACAGACAAUUACAUCCCUUCACUCUCAGAAGACUGGAGGGAUCCAAACAUCGAGGCUCUGAAUGGCAACUGCUCUGACGCUGAGAUCCAUGAGAAAGAAGAGGAAGAGUUCAAUGAGAAGAGUGAAAAUGAUUCUGGUAUCAACGAGGAGCCUCUGCUCACAGCAGAUCAGGUAUAAGUAUCUCUCCAGGUUAUUGGGACCUUUUGUUCUUUUGAUAGAGAAAAAGUUCAAGAGAACACACUUGCCACAUCCAUUUAAGGCAGAAGAAAGAUAUGUGGUCAUGUGGUGCCUGUGCUCAUGACUCAGAGUAUUUUUCGUUUCUUUUUUUCUUUAUAUAUAUAUAUUUUUGAGACAGAGUCUUGCUGUGUUGCCCAGGCUGGAGUGCAGUGGCAUGAUCUUGGCUC
RNAcentral lists this small RNA (874 nucleotides) under Pongo abelii (Sumatran orangutan). Its description in RNAcentral is "retained intron". Lineage: Eukaryota; Metazoa; Chordata; Mammalia; Primates; Hominidae. The record is from RNAcentral.